CCUACGGGUGGCAGCAGUGGGGAAUAUUGCACAAUGGGGGAAACCCUGAUGCAGCGACGCCGCGUGAGCGAUGAAGGAUUUCGGUAUGUAAAGCCCUAUCAUCAGGGAAGAAAAUGACGGUAUCUGACGAAGAAGCCCCGGCUAACUACGUGCCAGCAGCCGCGGUAAUACGGAGGGUGCAAGCGUUAUCCGGAUUUACUGGGUGUAAAGGGAGCGUAGGCGGGGGAGCAAGGCAGAUGUGAAAGCCCGGGGCUCAACCCCGGGACUGCAUUUGAAACUGUUAUGCUAGAGUGUCGGAGAGGUAGGCGGAAUUCCUGGUGUAGCGGUGAAAUGCUUAGAUAUCAAGAAGAACACUGAUUGCGAAGGCGGCUUACUAGAA
This 379-nucleotide ribosomal RNA is filed under the name uncultured bacterium. RNAcentral's name for it is "partial 16S ribosomal RNA". It matches the Rfam family "Bacterial small subunit ribosomal RNA", at positions 338 to 734 of the family's 1533-position model. The record is from RNAcentral.